RNAcentral lists this ribosomal RNA (476 nucleotides) under Weissella paramesenteroides. Its description in RNAcentral is "bacterial SSU rRNA". It matches the Rfam family "Bacterial small subunit ribosomal RNA", at positions 47 to 508 of the family's 1533-position model. The record is from RNAcentral. Lineage: Bacteria; Bacillati; Bacillota; Bacilli; Lactobacillales; Lactobacillaceae.
CUUUAAUUGAUCUGACGAGCUUGCUCUGAUUUGAUUUUAUCUGACAAAGAGUGGCGAACGGGUGAGUAACACGUGGGUAACCUACCUCUUAGCAGGGGAUAACAUUUGGAAACAAGUGCUAAUACCGUAUAAUACCAACAACCGCAUGGUUGUUGGUUGAAAGAUGGUUCUGCUAUCACUAAGAGAUGGACCCGCGGUGCAUUAGCUAGUUGGUAAGGUAACGGCUUACCAAGGCAAUGAUGCAUAGCCGAGUUGAGAGACUGAUCGGCCACAAUGGGACUGAGACACGGCCCAUACUCCUACGGGAGGCAGCAGUAGGGAAUCUUCCACAAUGGGCGCAAGCCUGAUGGAGCAACGCCGCGUGUGUGAUGAAGGGUUUCGGCUCGUAAAACACUGUUAUAAGAGAAGAACGGCACUGAGAGUAACUGUUCAGUGUGUGACGGUAUCUUACCAGAAAGGAACGGCUAACUACGUGG